This 780-nucleotide long non-coding RNA is filed under the name Pogona vitticeps (central bearded dragon). RNAcentral's name for it is "lncRNA (ENSPVIG00000008660.1)". The record is from RNAcentral. Lineage: Eukaryota; Metazoa; Chordata; Lepidosauria; Squamata; Agamidae.
UUUAAUGGCUACAGUACCUGCAUAUUUAUUUGUAGGCGUACUGUUAGCAACAAACAGUUCAGCCAUAUACAUCUUUACUUAUAAAUAGGCCACAGUAUUUUCCAUAGGGAUCCUUCCCAGAUUGGUAUUGUAAGUGUAUUUGGCUUUUUUUUCCUCCCCUAAAUCUCUGAAACCAGCAUUUCCUUCAAUACACGAACAUGUUAAUAAUUAACAUUGGCCAACACAUUGAUUACUUUAAAAGUUAAACAUAUUCUAAAAUGAAGGGUAUUUCUUAAGGCCAAUAUUAAUUCAGUUUCCAGCUUAAGGCUUUCAAGCAGUGGAAGACCAGUUGAUCCAGGACAGUUACAAGCAUGGGGGUGCCGUCCCCAAAAGGAGUGGGGAGGAAGAUGGAAGUCUACCUUUGCUCCAUGAUUGUCGCUCUAGUUGCUGCUAAUGGCAUGGAGGGAAGGAGAAAUGUUGGUCAUGAGUCAAGAGAAGCUGAGCAUGAAGUUCAUCAUUUCAGAGGUACCAAAAGUGGUUUAAAAUGCACAGAACAAAGUGAGGCUGCUUCAAGAUGGAGGGUUCCUGCCCUAUCAUGCACAAGUGAAAGUUAUCAUGCAGCUUUUUCAAUUUUUUUCCUUAACAUAAUUUUUUUCUGUGAAGGAAAAGGGUAGAAGAAGCUGUGGGAAAACAUGAGAGGGUUGCUAAUGGAAGAUGCUGUCAUCUCCUUGCCCCACCUCCAUGAAUGAGCUAGUGCAGCUGUUCAAUAAAAAUGGUGUCUGGAAGUACUUUGGAUGUGUC